Molecule: ribosomal RNA, 484 nt
Filed under: uncultured bacterium
Lineage: Bacteria
Description: partial 16S ribosomal RNA
Rfam family: Bacterial small subunit ribosomal RNA
Source: RNAcentral
AUUGAACGCUGGCGGCAGGCCUAACACAUGCAAGUCGAGCGGAUGAAGGGAGCUUGCUCCUGGAUUCAGCGGCGGACGGGUGAGUAAUGCCUAGGAAUCUGCCUGGUAGUGGGGGAUAACGUCCGGAAACGGGCGCUAAUACCGCAUACGUCCUGAGGGAGAAAGUGGGGGAUCUUCGGACCUCACGCUAUCAGAUGAGCCUAGGUCGGAUUAGCUAGUUGGUGGGGUAAAGGCCUACCAAGGCGACGAUCCGUAACUGGUCUGAGAGGAUGAUCAGUCACACUGGAACGGGGACACGGUCCAGACUCCUACGGGAGGCAGCAGUGGGGAAUAGUGGACAAUGGGCGAAAGCCUGAUCCAGCCAUGCCGCGUGUGUGAAGAAGGUCUUCGGAUUGUAAAGCACUUUAAGUUGGGAGGAAGGGCAGUAAGUUAAUACCUUGCUGUUUUGACGUUACCAACAGAAUAAGCACCGGCUAACUUCGUG